AUACCGUCUCGUGACGUCAUGUAGACGCUGGGCUGCGAUUGGAGGUUGCCCCGAGCGUCAGCCAAUCGGAUCACUUACUGUGUGAAAUUCGAACGGUACACGCUCGCUCGUUCACUCGAGAGCAUUUCAUUGUCGUCAUUGCGGCCCCGGUUAGUUGUUGGAAAGGCCAGACGUGUACCAUGUAUACGUUUUUAAACAUAACCGUGGAACAAGGGGAAUAACGUAAUCGAAAUGUGAUUCUAACGAUUCUUUUUAUAUAUAUGUUAAUCCCAACUGUAAAUCCGGAAGCAAUUUCUCGUGAAAAGUAAGAUAACCUAUUGGAUACAAAUUUUUAAAUUUUUUACUUUAUUCUUAUAUUUUUCAUACUACUGUGAAAAUAUGCUAUCGUAAUAUAAAUUACAGUGAAAAAUGCUUUACAAUUUUUUAAAUCCCUGGAUUAGUAAUAAUUUUAGAUUAAAUAUGAAAAUAUGUUGUCCUUAGAAAGAAUUUUUUUUUCUAAAUACUUGUUCUAUCAAAUGAUACUAACUAUUAACGAAAGAUAUAUAAGUUCCAAUUAUAUUUUAUAAAUAAUUAAUUUGUUAAACGGUUCAUAUUCCAAAAAAACUUUUUGUUACUAUGAAAUUACAAAUUAAUAGUAGAAAUAAAAUAAAUGUGAUAUAAUCUAUUUGCAAGAAAACGAAACUGUAUAUAAAGAAUGGGGAAUUAUCGAGUUAACUCGUAUGUUCUUGUCAACAGGUUGAUGAACACAUAUAAUAGACAUCUAUAUUGUUGUUCAUUCCAAGAAUUGUUCUAAAAAAAGCUCGUAUGUGAUAUUUUUAUUGUUACGGAGAAAUAUUGACCAUAUCUUGUAUGUCUUGAUUUUAUCUUUUGAUCCUUCUGACGAAUAUGUUCCUCAUUAAGGAAAGGCAAACAAUUCUUUAGCAAUCCGCACGAAUGGUUCGCUUCUACAUUUUAGGCCAUUAAUGUGGUCUGUUUUGCUAAUUUUGAAAUUUAACCUGACACUACUUAAGUAGACGCGUGUCUAGACAGAGCAGGGGUAGUUUGAUGGGUGUAUUCGCGUGCUCUAUUUAAUUAGUAUCUAUUCUUGUCUUCUGGGCGUGUACAUAGAUUGUUACUUGCGAUUACAUUACAAAACUAACCGAAUCGAUAAUAAGUGUAUUUACAUUUACCUAAUCCGGUUCAUGGUCGUUGUGACCACCUUAUUCGUCGCCAUAUUAAAAAAUAGCUUUAAAAGUCAGAAAACAGGUGCAUAUCAUAAGAUUACCUCUUUAAAAUAGAAUUAAGAUACAUAUCUUGAUAGAAUACUGUAUGUAUUAUAUAUAAUAAUUAUAUUAUAAUAAUAAAUAGACUACGAAUUUUUAUUCAAACUCAUAUUUCCGUGAACAAAAUCAAAGAAGUGGAAGUCAAAUAGAGAUUUGCUUCAUCAUCCGAAUAUCCAAAUAGUAAUUAGACCGUGAAUUUUUAUGCAUUCAUGUGGAAUUUCAAGAUGCAAAAAUGUAUGGAAUGAACGUAUCAGUGAAAGUGAAACAAAUCUCUGCUUACGUUUCAUUCCUUUAGUUGCGUUCAUAAAAAUGUGGAUUUGUACAAAUAUUCGCAGACUAAUUAUUACAAAUGCUUCACUUUGAAUAAUUCCUAUAUCUGUACAUUUUUGCAUGUUUAAAUAUCCCAUAAAUGCAUAAACAUCCGCAGUCUAGUAAUAAAUAUAUGUUUGUAAAAUAAAUGUUACUACAUACAUUACGUGUAUAUGUACGUUAUUCUAUACCAAUGUAAUUAAAAGUUAAGUGUAUAGUUUGUACAGUUUUAUGAAAUCGAUAUUCAAUUAGUCAUCUAUAUAAACGGAUAUGUAACAAUUA
Long non-coding RNA from Bombus terrestris (buff-tailed bumblebee), 1853 nucleotides. RefSeq lists it as uncharacterized. The record is from RefSeq and is a predicted model, not a curated record. The transcript has 2 exons. NCBI's taxonomy places the organism in Eukaryota, Metazoa, Arthropoda, Insecta, Hymenoptera, Apidae.